RNAcentral lists this ribosomal RNA (442 nucleotides) under uncultured bacterium. Its description in RNAcentral is "partial 16S ribosomal RNA". It matches the Rfam family "Bacterial small subunit ribosomal RNA", at positions 338 to 795 of the family's 1533-position model. The record is from RNAcentral.
CCUACGGGAGGCAGUAGUGGGGAAUAUUGGGCAAUGGACGCAAGUCUGACCCAGCAACGCCGCGUGAAGGAAGAAGGCUUUCGGGUUGUAAACUUCUUUUUAGGGGGAAGAGCAGAAGACGGUACCCCUUGCAUAAGCCACGGCUAACUACGUGCCAUCAGCCGCGGCCAUACGGAGGUGGCAAGCGUUGUCCGGAUUUACUGGGUGUAAAGGGCGUGCAGCCGGAGAGACAAGUCAGAUGUGAAAUCCACGGGCUCAACCCGUGAACUGCAGUUGAAACUGUUUCCCUGGAGUGUCGGAGAGGUAGUCGGAAUGCGUGGUGUAGCGGUGAAAUGCGUAGAUAUAAGGCAGAACACCGAUGGCGAAGGCAGAUUACUGGACGGUGACUGACGGUGAGGCGCGAAAGCGUGGGGAGCAAACAGGAUUAGAUACCCCAGUAGUC